This 427-nucleotide ribosomal RNA is filed under the name uncultured bacterium. RNAcentral describes it as "partial 16S ribosomal RNA". It matches the Rfam family "Bacterial small subunit ribosomal RNA", at positions 355 to 774 of the family's 1533-position model. The record is from RNAcentral.
UGGGGAAUAUUGGACAAUGGGCGAAAGCCUGAUCCAGCCAUGCCGCGUGUGUGAAGAAGGUCUUCGGAUUGUAAAGCACUUUAAGUUGGGAGGAAGGGCAUUAACCUAAUACGUUAGUGUUUUGACGUUACCGACAGAAUAAGCACCGGCUAACUCUGUGCCAGCAGCCGCGGUAAUACAGAGGGUGCCAGCGUUAAUCGGAAUUACUGGGCGUAAAGCGCGCGUAGGUGGUUUGUUAAGUUGGAUGUGAAAUCCCCGGGCUCAACCUGGGAACUGCAUUCAAAACUGACUGACUAGAGUAUGGUAGAGGGUGGUGGAAUUUCCUGUGUAGCGGUGAAAUGCGUAGAUAUAGGAAGGAACACCAGUGGCGAAGGCGACCACCUGGACUAAUACUGACACUGAGGUGCGAAAGCGUGGGGAGCAAACA